GCCCGACGUACCAUCAUUCCUGGAAUGGUUGAUGGUUAAAAUGAUUCAUCGCCGUAGGAUGGGACUGCGACCUAUCAGCUUGUUGGUGGGGUAAUGGCCCACCAAGACUAUUACAGGUACGGGCUCUGAGAGGAGAAGCCCGGAGAUGGGUACUGAGACACGGACCCAGGCCCUAUGGGGCGCAGCAGGCGAGAAAACUUUGCAAUGUGCGAAAGCACGACAAGGUUAAUCCGAGUGGUUUCUGCUAAAGGAACCUUUUGUUAGUCCUAGAAACACUAACGAAUAAGGGGUGGGCAAGUUCUGGUGUCAGCCGCCGCGGUAAAACCAGCACCUCAAGUGGUCAGGAUGAUUAUUGGGCCUAAAGCAUCCGUAGCCGGCUCUGUAAGUUUUCGGUUAAAUCUGUACGCUCAACGUACAGGCUGCCGGGAAUACUGCAUAGCUAGGGAGUGGGAGAGGUAGACGGUACUCGGUAGGAAGGGGUAAAAUCCUUUGAUCUAUUGAUGACCACCUGUGGCGAAAGCGGUCUACCAGAACACGUCCGACGGGUGAGGGAUGAAAGCUGGGGGGAGCAAACCGGAUUAGAUACCCGGGUAGUCCCAGCUGUAAACUAUGCAAACUCAGUGAUGCAUUGGCUUGUGGCCAAUGCAGUGCUGCAGGGAAGCCGUUAAGUUGCCGCCUGGGAAGUACGUACGCAAGUAUGAAACUUAAUGAUCU
This 714-nucleotide ribosomal RNA is filed under the name uncultured Nitrosopumilales archaeon. Its description in RNAcentral is "bacterial SSU rRNA". It matches the Rfam family "Archaeal small subunit ribosomal RNA", at positions 151 to 865 of the family's 1478-position model. Lineage: Archaea; Thermoproteati; Nitrososphaerota; Nitrososphaeria; Nitrosopumilales. The record is from RNAcentral.